This 482-nucleotide ribosomal RNA is filed under the name uncultured bacterium. Its description in RNAcentral is "partial 16S ribosomal RNA". It matches the Rfam family "Bacterial small subunit ribosomal RNA", at positions 30 to 507 of the family's 1533-position model. The record is from RNAcentral.
AUUGAACGCUGGCGGCAUGCCUUACACAUGCAAGUCGAACGGUAACGGGCCUUCGGGUGCCGACGAGUGGCGAACGGGUGAGUAAUACAUCGGAACGUGCCCGAUCGUGGGGGAUAACGAGGCGAAAGCUUUGCUAAUACCGCAUACGAUCUACGGAUGAAAGCAGGGGACCGCAAGGCCUUGCGCGGACGGAGCGGCCGAUGGCAGAUUAGGUAGUUGGUGGGAUAAAAGCUUACCAAGCCGACGAUCUGUAGCUGGUCUGAGAGGAUGAUCAGCCACACUGGGACUGAGACACGGCCCAGACUCCUACGGGAGGCAGCAGUGGGGAAUUUUGGACAAUGGGCGCAAGCCUGAUCCAGCCAUGCCGCGUGCAGGAUGAAGGCCUUCGGGUUGUAAACUGCUUUUGUACGGAACGAAAAGCCUUCUUUUAAUACAGAAGGGUCAUGACGGUACCGUAAGAAUAAGCACCGGCUAACUACGUG